AUGAUAGAAGCAGGAGUUCAUUUUGGUCAUGGUAUUAAGAAAGGGAAUCCUAAAAUGGCCCCUUACAUUUCGGCAAAGCGUAAAGGUACUCAUAUUAUAAAGCUUGCUAGAACGACUCGUUUUUUAUCAGAAGCUUGUGAUUUAGUUUUUGAUGCAGCAAGUCAGGGAAAAAGUUUCUUAAUUGUUGCUACCAAAAAAAGAGCAACAGAUUUAGUAGCAUCAGGUGCAAUAAGGGCUCGUUUUCAUUAUGUUAAUAAAAAGUGGUUCAGUGGUAUGUUAACGAACUGGUCGAUUACGAAAACUAGACUUUCUCAAAUUCUUAAUUCGCAACUAUCACACGGUCAAUAA
This 348-nucleotide ribosomal RNA is filed under the name Triticum aestivum (bread wheat). Its description in RNAcentral is "partial small subunit ribosomal RNA". Lineage: Eukaryota; Viridiplantae; Streptophyta; Magnoliopsida; Poales; Poaceae. The record is from RNAcentral.